RNAcentral lists this ribosomal RNA (513 nucleotides) under Triticum aestivum (bread wheat). Its description in RNAcentral is "partial small subunit ribosomal RNA". The record is from RNAcentral. Lineage: Eukaryota; Viridiplantae; Streptophyta; Magnoliopsida; Poales; Poaceae.
AUGGGGGGCAGCUCCAACACGAGCGGCGGUGGUGGCGCCGGAGGGAAGGACAAGGAGGACAAGGGCAAGGGCUCCUCGGUCUCCUUCACGGAAGGCGAGAAGGUGCUCGCCUACCACGGCCCGCUCCUCUACGAGGCCAAGGUUCAGAAAACUGAAAAUCGGGAGGACGAGCGGCGGUAUUUCGUCCAUUAUCUUGGCUGGAAUAAAAAAUGUGAUGAAUGGAUCGCAAGUGAUCGUUUAUUGAAGUUGACAGAGGAGAAUGUUCGCAAACAACUAGAGCUGAAAAACCAGUCAAUGGAUAAAACCGUCAAGAUUGGUAGACGGUCAGCACAGCAUAACCCAGAAGGCUCUAAUGCAGAUGCAAAAGCCGAUAAAGAGGACACUAAGGAUCUUGUCAAGGGAAAGAAGCGCAAGAAUCAGCUUGGCGUUGAGGUGGCUAUCAUUCCCAAACAUGUACAUUGUGAAAUACUCCCACCGUCCGGAAAUACUUGUCGGAGAAAUGGGAGUAUUUGA